CUGUGGUGAUGACGUUCUUAGGACACCUUUGGAUUUACCGUGAAAACAAACACAUUCUGAGCAGC
Small nucleolar RNA from Microtus ochrogaster (prairie vole), 65 nucleotides. Its record names the gene SNORD58. It matches the Rfam family "Small nucleolar RNA SNORD58". From Rfam's summary of the family: snoRNA U58 is found in introns 1, 3 and 6 of the ribosomal protein RPL17 gene in humans. The record is from Ensembl. Lineage: Eukaryota; Metazoa; Chordata; Mammalia; Rodentia; Cricetidae.